UGGGGAAUUUUGGACAAUGGGGGCAACCCUGAUCCAGCCAUGCCGCGUGAGUGAAGAAGGCCUUCGGGUUGUAAAGCUCUUUCGGCGGGGACGAAACGGUCCGUGACAACACCACGGACUAAUGACAGUACUCGCAGAAGAAGCACCGGCUAACUACGUGCCAGCAGCCGCGGUAAUACGUAGGGUGCAGGCGUUAAUCGGAAUUACUGGGCGUAAAGCGUGCGCAGGCGGCUCCUUAAGUCAGAUGUGAAAUCCCCGGGCUUAACCUGGGAACUGCGUUUGAAACUGAGGGGCUAGAGUGUGGAAGAGGGGGGUGGAAUUCCAGGUGUAGCAGUGAAAUGCGUAGAGAUCUGGAGGAACACCGAUGGCGAAGGCAGCCCCCUGGGCUAACACUGACGCUCAUGCACGAAAGCGUGGGGAGCAAACAGGAUUAGAUACCCAAGUAGUCCCUGAGCGGGCUGGCAAGGCGCAU
RNAcentral lists this ribosomal RNA (472 nucleotides) under uncultured bacterium. RNAcentral describes it as "bacterial SSU rRNA". It matches the Rfam family "Bacterial small subunit ribosomal RNA", at positions 355 to 825 of the family's 1533-position model. The record is from RNAcentral.